GGGAGUAUAACAUAUUUUUUAAAAUUUUUUUAGACUUUUUAAUUUAAACAUAAUAAUUAAGAGAAAGACAUGUGAAUGAGAGGAUGAAGCUUCUUACUCAAUAAAACUAUUUAAAAAAUAAUAAUAUCACUAUUCACUUUUCAUUUAACAAAAGGAUGAAGCUUCUUACUCAAUAAAACUAUUUAAAAAAUAAUAAUAUCACUAUUCACUUUUCAUUUAACAACAAUGACAAAGAUUAAUAUAUUCAUAUAAGAUACGUUUUUCAGAAAAAAUAAUAUUCACCCUGUUUGCCUAUUUUACUUACAUAAUUUUUUUAAAUUUAUUUAAGCAAAAUAUAUUAGAUCAUUCAUUUGGAGAGGAAGAGAUAUUUCUUUAUUUGUAGAAAUAUAACACGAUCCUACCAAUACAAGUACCAAGCAAUAAAACAUAACCCAACCGAAAUUAAAAACAAAUAAAAGCUUAUUGGGUUGACACUUGACAAAUAACAAAGCAUUGAUAACUAACUAAGAACAUGGCAUUUAACAUCGCUCUCUAGAAAUUAUCAUCGUAACCAAGACCAUCCUCAAUCCUCUCCACCACGUCAUCAGCAAUCUUAAGGGUCUAGCAAAGCAUAAGAGGACUAAUAAGACAAACAAAUUGUAAAUGAUGAAAAAGUAAUAUUAAUUAGAGGAUAAAAUUAAAAAAUAUACAUUAAAAAUUGAAAUAGAUCAUUAAUUUUAAAAUAUAUUUUUUAUUUCAAAUGGAUUAGGACGGAGGGAGUAUAACAUAUUUUUUAAUUUUUUUUUAGACUUUUUAAUUUAAACAUAAUAAUUAAGCGAAAGACAUGUGAAUGAGAGGAUGGAGCUUCUUACUCAAUAAAACUAUUUAAAAAAUAAUAAUAUCACUAUUCACUUUUCAUUUAACAACAAUGACAAAGAUUAAUAUAUUCAUAUAAGAUACGUUUUUCAGAAAAAUAAUAUUAA
This 962-nucleotide long non-coding RNA is filed under the name Lathyrus oleraceus (garden pea). RNAcentral describes it as "Pisum sativum (pea) long non-coding RNA (PSAT_LNC036189)". Lineage: Eukaryota; Viridiplantae; Streptophyta; Magnoliopsida; Fabales; Fabaceae. The record is from RNAcentral.